AAAGUAGCUGUGAGCAUUUAUAAAGGGAAGGAAUGGGAAGCCUUGUGCUGUGGAGGGGAGGUUCUUUGGUGGUGACUGCAAUAAAGCGUUUGGAGGCCCCUGCUGACAUUCAAGUCUUCAUCUAUCUCUACCUUAUGCUUCUGGAAGCCCAUAAAACAUGGCCUGAUCUAAAGACUGGUGAGUAGGAGAUCUUCAGAUUGUGCUUAUUCUCAUCCGACUCAGUCUGGGGGCUUGUCUGGGAUCCUGGAAUGCAGAAACUUCUCCUGAAUUUCUGCAAGAAACUUGGAACAGAGGGACCAAAUUUCCUGAGAAGACCGAUCCCUGAUAAAGAUGAUUGGUGAAGAUGAAGUGUGUUAGCUAUAUCUAAUUAAUGUUAUUGUUAUUGUAGAGAGAGAAACUGAGGCAAGUGAAAAUAAUUAUUUGCCAGUCACUUGCCAUGCAUUUGCUAUCAUCAGUUAGAUCAUCUCUGUGCAUCCAAAGUAGGGGAUGUGCCUUCUAAGAAGAUAAAAUUAAGCCAUCUUUUACUUCAACCCCCAGCUCCAGAGUAUUAUCAAUGGGAAGGGGUCCAUUUUCCAAAACCCCCAUUUCAUUCAGGGGGAUGAAAAGCUCAUAGGAGGUACAUAAUUCUUUUGUAUUAGUAAAAUUAGCUCACUACUCUCAAAGUUUGGUAUGUCACAGCACCCCAACCUAAGGAGGCCUCUCUCUCAUCCCAUUUAUUGACAGUGGGAGAUUUUUGAGCUGUGCUUCAUCUCAUCCCACUCAAUCCUAGCCUGAUUGAUUCAGGGCACUGUAAGUUACAGUAAAAGUGUUACUUGAAUGUUCUUAAGGAAGCAAGGAGAUUGUUUAUUGCCCUUGAACCUUUUGUCUUUCAUCAAUCUCUUUCCCACAGUCCUGGAGUCUUUUAGAUAAAGAGUCAACAAAAGGUCUUUGAAAUUUAAAAACAGAUUAGUCAUCCCUUUCUCAAUUGGGGGUGCUAACCAGUGCUUUUUCCCUUGAGGAAGUCUUGUUUCCAAGAGAAAUUUUACAACUUAAGUGACUCCCUUAUCUCCUUUGGUACCAAAAAUGUCAAGAGAUGUUCUCAUUCUGUUGUAUAUGUAUACAUUUUGUUACACCUCUGACCCAAUAGACUGUUUCUUAAAAUUUUAAUUUGGGAGUUCGGAUUGACAGGAAUCAUGACAUGAACAAAAAGAUGGAAAGAAAGAGAUAAGAGGGGAGGUUUGUGACUGAAUUUUAUAAAUUGGUGGACUUAAAUCUGAUACUUUAGCAUUCUUUGAGCACCCAAGAAGGGGAAUGCCUCUUUCUAUUAAAAUCAAUAAAGCCAUCAUUUUUGCAUCUUUCUCUCUGGCUCC
Molecule: long non-coding RNA, 1349 nt
Organism: Monodelphis domestica (gray short-tailed opossum)
Lineage: Eukaryota; Metazoa; Chordata; Mammalia; Didelphimorphia; Didelphidae
Source: RefSeq, a predicted model, not a curated record